This 612-nucleotide ribosomal RNA is filed under the name uncultured bacterium. RNAcentral's name for it is "bacterial SSU rRNA". The stretch from base 1 to 517 matches the Rfam family "Bacterial small subunit ribosomal RNA", at positions 338 to 873 of the family's 1533-position model. The record is from RNAcentral.
CCUACGGGAGGCAGCAGUGGGGAAUCUUGCGCAAUGGGCGAAAGCCUGACGCAGCAACGCCGCGUGCGGGAAGAAGGCUUUCGGGCUGUAAACCGCUUUCAGCAGGAACGAAAAUGACGGUACCUGCAGAAGAAGGAGCGGCCAACUAUGUGCCAGCAGCCGCGGUGAUACAUAGGCUUCAAGCGUUGUCCGGAUUUAUUGGGCGUAAAGAGUUCGUAGGCGGUCGAGUAAGUCGGGUGUGAAAAUUCUGGGCUCAACCCAGAGACGCCACCCGAUACUGCUUGACUUGAGUUCGAUAGGGGAGUGGGGAAUUCCUAGUGUAGCGGUGAAAUGCGCAGAUAUUAGGAGGAACACCGGUGGCGAAGGCGCCACUCUGGAUCGAUACUGACGCUGAGGAACGAAAGCAUGGGUAGCAAACAGGAUUAGAUACCCUGGUAGUCCAUGCCGUAAACGGUGGGCACUAGGUGUGGGUUUCUAUUAACGAAGUCCGCGCCGUCGCUAACGCAUAGUGCCCGCCGUCGGGAGGUACGGUCGCGAGAACGUAAACCUACAAAUAGUAAGUUAGUACGGUUCGUUGUAGACGUUGCCGAACGGCGACGACGAGGGAGGAGG